Molecule: ribosomal RNA, 416 nt
Filed under: uncultured microorganism
Description: bacterial SSU rRNA
Rfam family: Bacterial small subunit ribosomal RNA
Source: RNAcentral
GAGUUUGAUCGUGGCUCAGAUUGAACGCUGGCGGCAUGCCUUACACAUGCAAGUCGAACGGCAGCAUGAUCUAGCUUGCUAGAUUGAUGGCGAGUGGCGAACGGGUGAGUAAUACAUCGGAACGUGCCCUGUAGUGGGGGAUAACUAGUCGAAAGAUUAGCUAAUACCGCAUACGACCUGAGGGUGAAAGUGGGGGACCGCAAGGCCUCAUGCUAUAGGAGCGGCCGAUGUCUGAUUAGCUAGUUGGUGGGGUAAAGGCCCACCAAGGCGACGAUCAGUAGCUGGUCUGAGAGGACGAUCAGCCACACUGGGACUGAGACACGGCCCAGACUCCUACGGGAGGCAGCAGUGGGGAAUUUGGACAAUGGGCGAAAGCCUGAUCCAGCAAUGCCGCGUGUGUGAAGAAGGCCUCGGUU